GUUCCAAUAAGACUAUAAGAGAAUUGAAAG
RNAcentral lists this non-coding RNA (30 nucleotides) under Pyrococcus horikoshii OT3. Lineage: Archaea; Methanobacteriati; Methanobacteriota; Thermococci; Thermococcales; Thermococcaceae. The record is from RNAcentral.